Long non-coding RNA from Gadus macrocephalus (Pacific cod), 380 nucleotides. RefSeq lists it as uncharacterized. The record is from RefSeq and is a predicted model, not a curated record. The transcript has 2 exons. NCBI's taxonomy places the organism in Eukaryota, Metazoa, Chordata, Actinopteri, Gadiformes, Gadidae.
ACUUGCUCAGUAUGAAUAUAAGUACACAAGAUACUGGCUCAUUGUAUGUAGCAGUACACAUGAUACUGGCUCAGUAUGAGUAUAAGUACACAUGAUACUGGCUCAGUAUGAGAAUUAGUACACAGGAUGUGUGUGUGUGUAAUGUGUGUGUACUGACUGUGUACUGUGUGUGUACUGUCUGUGAGUAUUGUGUGUGCGUGAACUAUGUAUGUACUGUGUGAACUGUUUGUGUACUGUGUGUACUGUGUCUGAACUGAGUGUGUACUGUGUGUCUGUGUACUGUCCCCCCUAAAACCAUAUGUUCUAUUAUAACUGAACUCAACGUGCUCUGGAUGGUGUGAAGGCCAACAUGAAUUAGCAUGCUAAGGUCUUCAUUAAAU